Long non-coding RNA from Vicia villosa (hairy vetch), 1471 nucleotides. RefSeq lists it as uncharacterized. The transcript has 3 exons. The record is from RefSeq and is a predicted model, not a curated record. Lineage: Eukaryota; Viridiplantae; Streptophyta; Magnoliopsida; Fabales; Fabaceae.
CUUAAAACUUUAAAAUUAAAAACAAUGAAAGUUCUGAAACGUAGUUGUGACUUCUUUUCUUUUCUUCCAACCCUAGCCGCCACCUCUCACACUUCCUCCUCUGUUCCUUCACCGGUUUCCUCACCGUGAAAACCUCUGUCGACUAGCGAAAUCUUCUCAGACUAACCCUCUCUGUUCUCUGAUUCAUGUGCAGUUUGUUUAUCGCUUGGAACAAAAGGAUGUGUCUACUAAGAAAACUAUUGAAGCUUUGAAGAAUCACAAUGAUGCAGAGAGAAGAAGAAGAGCCAAAAUUAUCUCACAUAUUGAUACACUUCAGUGUCAUUCUAGGUACUUUAACAUAAUCCUUUUUCAAUCUCUCUUCAUUAACCAUUGAUAAAAACCAACUAAUCUUCUUUUUUAUGAUUACAAAUGGACAAAUCAUCAACAAAGGUAUUUGACAGUUAAAAGAGGUAAAAAGAAUGUGGAUUCAAUGGUUUUCCUUACUUAAAUAAAUCAUCUGUGUUAUGAGUAUCAACUUAGUUUGUUGUCUUAGUAUAUGAAUGAAAAAUGUUUGCCUUAUUUGUUUUACAGGUUUGGCUUUUCCUGCUUCCAAAUUUGUUCUAUAUGGCUUGUAAUGAUAAUGGAGUUUAGAUUUGUUAAUGAUAGUGAAAAUGGAUUUGUAUGUGUUGUAUGUGUUGUAUGCUUAUUAAUAUAAUACUGGGAGGUAAUAACUGUAUGCUUGUAUGUGUCUCUGAUAUUUAAAUUGAUGUGUAUGAUAUCAUGUAUUUUAAGAGUGCUAUCUAUUUAUUAAAUUUUCUGCAGAAAAUGUAAGAAGAAAAAAAAACAGGACAUUGCUCUUAUGAAUAAGAUGUUACAUUCUAUCAAGUUUAUACAUAUGAAGAAUUAUAUUUUUUUUUACAAAUUUGUAACGAUUUACGGGGGUUUUUAACCUCUGAAACAAAACCCCCGCGGUUUAAAUAAAAUAUUAUAUUUUUUAAUACAUAUGUUGACUCAGCAUAAUAAGAAAUGUAUAGUUGUCAUGCCACAUAGGCGCAAUUAACGUUUCUUCAAAAAAAUUAACGGUAAGGACCAAUUCCACUAACAGAACCGUUUUUAAAGGACUAAUAUGUAACCUUUAUUAAAUAAGGGAUUAAAGUGAAACCUAAAAUUAAAUUAAAGGAUUUGGUAUAUUAUUCUAAUUAAUUAAAUUUUCAAAUAAAAUAAUCAAUGCAUAAUUACUUUGGAACAAAUACCACUCCAUGUUCUACUUCUUAUACACAGUUUUUAAAUUUGUUUUAAUUACCAAUGCAACUAUUCGUUUCCAUUUAACAUAAAUGUUGUUCUCUCUACUUUAUAUAGAAACUAGGGUUAAUACCUAUUUUGCCCCCUGCCAUAUAGGCGACAUUUGAAAAACCCCCUGCAAAAAAAAUUUAAGAAAACAUGUUAAAAACCUGUUGGAGGUGGGAGUUGAACCCACACCCUUCAACUUAAG